CCCUGGCGCCUGGACUGAGCUUGGCACACAGAAGUGGCCCGAUGGCUGGGUGUUGAAGGAGUGAGAGUUGGUGUUUGAUUUUACCGCUGAAGACACAGAGGUGUCACCUGAGUGUCCUGCCCGAUGAUGACAGCUGUGCUUUAUGGAGAGUCCUGUGUGCUGAGCCCUUUAAACCUCACAGCAACUGGGAAGAUGUACAACCCCAUUUGUGAGGAAGAGACCCGCCAGCUUGAGCGUCUUGGGCAAAGACACACAGCAGGGCAGAGGGAGGCGCGGGGCCCAAACCCUGCUGGUGACUUCUUUGCUGUCUUGACUCCCACCGUCCUCUCGGACAGUCGAGUGGCCCUUCCCACUCACUCCAUCUCCAGGCAGCCCCGGGUGUGACCCGCAGACAGAAUCCACCCGGCUGUACGACCUCCUAGCCAAGGACUGGCCCCAUUUCCCAGGACUCCCAUUUCAGCGUUUCCCGUCCAACAAUGUGGUUGAGGACCUGGGUGAAAUCACAAAUGAGCUUGCCUGGAGCACUGGAGGGAUCAGAAGUGCCUCUCCUGCCACCGGCCACCAGCAGCGGAGAUGUCAGCCCUGUCCCUCUGACCCUGCCAGUGCCACUCAACUUCUCUCUCCCUGGAUUUCCCACCUGGGGCUCUGCCUCCCUCUGACUCCUGGGUGCGGUGGGUCAGGCUCUCUGCCUGUGUGUGCCUCAGGAACCCUGGGGCAGGGGAAGGUGCCUCUGGAAGGAACAAGGACAAGAGGUCCCAGAUGUUACCACCCCAAGCUACAGAGACUCUAGCCUCUCGCCCAGCAAGGUGGCAGGAGGAGGACAGCUCCUGAGCCAGGCUCCCCAGCUGGAGGAAAGAAGGAAAGAUUCGCUCCCAGGACCCUCUGUUGGCUCCCGGCCCUGCUCUCUCCUAUACUGGCCACGAAAGCCCGUCACUUUCCAGGCAGCUGUGAUUUCUUUGUUUCCUCCUUUCUUUGUAUUCCCCU
Molecule: long non-coding RNA, 984 nt
Organism: Fukomys damarensis (Damara mole-rat)
Lineage: Eukaryota; Metazoa; Chordata; Mammalia; Rodentia; Bathyergidae
Exons: 3
Source: RefSeq, a predicted model, not a curated record